RNAcentral lists this ribosomal RNA (425 nucleotides) under uncultured bacterium. RNAcentral describes it as "partial 16S ribosomal RNA". It matches the Rfam family "Bacterial small subunit ribosomal RNA", at positions 354 to 796 of the family's 1533-position model. The record is from RNAcentral.
GUGGGGAAUAUUGGACAAUGGGCGCAAGCCUGAUCCAGCCAUGCCGCGUGAGUGAUGAAGGCCCUAGGGUUGUAAAGCUCUUUCACCGGUGAAGAUAAUGACGGUAACCGGAGAAGAAGCCCCGGCUAACUUCGUGCCAGCAGCCGCGGUAAUACGAAGGGGGCUAGCGUUGUUCGGAAUUACUGGGCGUAAAGCGCACGUAGGCGGGUAUUUAAGUCAGGGGUGAAAUCCCGGAGCUCAACUCCGGAACUGCCUUUGAUACUGGGUACCUAGAAUAUGGAAGAGGUAAGUGGAAUUCCGAGUGUAGAGGUGAAAUUCAUAGAUAUUCGGAGGAACAACAGUGGCGAAGGCGGCUUACUGGUCAAUUACUGACGCUGAGGUGCGAAAGCGUGGGGAGCAAACAGGAUUAGAAACCCUUGUAGUCC